GACCCCAUCGUCUAGUGGACAAGGACACUUGGUUUUCAUCCAAGUAACGGAAGUUCGAAUCUUUCUGGGGUUGCCA
This 76-nucleotide transfer RNA is filed under the name Campylobacterota bacterium. Its description in RNAcentral is "tRNA-Glu". It matches the Rfam family "tRNA". Rfam says of the family: Transfer RNA (tRNA) molecules are approximately 80 nucleotides in length. Their secondary structure includes four short double-helical elements and three loops (D, anti-codon, and T loops). Further hydrogen bonds mediate the characteristic L-shaped molecular structure. tRNAs have two regions of fundamental functional importance: the anti-codon, which is responsible for specific mRNA codon recognition, and the 3' end, to which the tRNAs corresponding amino acid is attached (by aminoacyl-tRNA synthetases). tRNAs cope with the degeneracy of the genetic code in two manners: having more than one tRNA (with a specific anti-codon) for a particular amino acid; and 'wobble' base-pairing, i.e. permitting non-standard base-pairing at the 3rd anti-codon position. The record is from RNAcentral. RNAcentral also lists the same sequence under 2 other names. Lineage: Bacteria; Pseudomonadati; Campylobacterota.